RNAcentral lists this ribosomal RNA (403 nucleotides) under uncultured bacterium. RNAcentral describes it as "bacterial SSU rRNA". It matches the Rfam family "Bacterial small subunit ribosomal RNA", at positions 11 to 403 of the family's 1533-position model. The record is from RNAcentral.
GUUUGAUCCUGGCUCAGGAUGAACGCUAGCUACAGGCUUAACACAUGCAAGUCGAGGGGCAGCAUUUCAGUUUGUUUGCAAACUGAAGAAUGGCGAACCGGCGCACGGGUGAGUAACACGUAUCCAACCUGCCGAUAACUCCGGGAUAGCCUUUCGAAAGAAAGAUUAAUACCGGAUGGCAUAUGAUUAUCGCAUGAUAAUCCUAUUAAAGAAUUUCGGUUAUCGAUGGGGAUGCGUUCCAUUAGUUUGUUGGCGGGGUAACGGCCCACCAAGACUUCGAUGGAUAGGGGUUCUGAGAGGAAGGUCCCCACAUUGGAACUGAGACACGGUCCAAACUCCUACGGGAGGCAGCAGUGAGGAAUAUUGGUCAAUGGACGAGAGUCUGAACCAGCCAAGUAGCGUG